Molecule: ribosomal RNA, 330 nt
Filed under: Triticum aestivum (bread wheat)
Lineage: Eukaryota; Viridiplantae; Streptophyta; Magnoliopsida; Poales; Poaceae
Description: partial small subunit ribosomal RNA
Source: RNAcentral
AUGGCGGGUGGUCCCACAUCUAAAAAUAGAGGGAGAACUCAGUUAUAUCAAACAUGUGCCUUUUUUGUCAAAGACAAAGAAAAGUGUACUAUGAAAGGAAAUGUGUGCCAUUUUUAUCAAAUGCCUCCUAUCCCACCCCCACCCAUGUAUUUCUCCCAAGUCAUAUGCCGUUCCCAUGCUGCCUUUGCCUCCUUCCUGAAUCACCAGAUCAUCAUCGAUGUCGGCCGCACCCGCACCAUUGUCCCAUCCACUUCUUCAUUCUCCUCUCCUACUCCCUGCAAGUGCCGCAAGCUAUGGCCAACGAUUUUUACUAUGCUCUUGACAUUAUAA